This 237-nucleotide long non-coding RNA is filed under the name Elaeis guineensis (African oil palm). Its description in RNAcentral is "long non-coding RNA (EGUI_LNC080620)". Lineage: Eukaryota; Viridiplantae; Streptophyta; Magnoliopsida; Arecales; Arecaceae. The record is from RNAcentral.
CAUAUAAUUGCUUAGAGCCAAAAAAAUAAAAAUCAUCAUAACUUAUAAUAAAAUCAUCUGGCAUGGCAAUGCAUCUAUUGCGGUCAAUCCCCUCAUCGCCUGGUUACCGGGAACGAGUGCCUGCAAAAGAAAGUCCGCACUGACCGGAGGUGGCUCCGGCGGGGAUCCUCCGACGGUCAAGUCAGAGAGGAGACUAGGCAACAAUGAAAAGGAAACAAGGAGCUCAACGAGAGAGAG